GUUCAAGGGUGGAACUGACGUCCCUGAGUGUAUGUGGUGAACCUGAAUUUGCCUUGGGUUUCCUCAUAUUCACUCAGGAGUGUCAGUUCCCCUGUCACU
MicroRNA precursor from Erinaceus europaeus (western European hedgehog), 99 nucleotides. The record is from Ensembl. Lineage: Eukaryota; Metazoa; Chordata; Mammalia; Eulipotyphla; Erinaceidae.